UGUCGUCAGCUCCGCGUCGUGAGAUGUUCGGUUAAGUCCGCUAACGAGCGCAACCCUCGCUGUAUGUUACAUGUGUCAUACAGGACCGCCGGUAUCAAGCCGGAGGAAGGUGGGGAUGACGUCAAGUCCGCAUGGCCUUUAUGUCCGGGGCUACACACACGCUACAAUGGUCGGUACAAUGGGUUGCUAAGCCGCGAGGUGGAGCCAAUCCCCCAAAGCCGGCCUCAGUUCAGAUUGCAGGCUGCAACUCGCCUGCAUGAAGCUGGAGUUGCUAGUAAACGCGCGUCAGCUAUAGUGCGUUGAAUACGUUCUCGGGCCUU
This 320-nucleotide ribosomal RNA is filed under the name uncultured Anaerolineaceae bacterium. RNAcentral's name for it is "bacterial SSU rRNA". It matches the Rfam family "Bacterial small subunit ribosomal RNA", at positions 1050 to 1382 of the family's 1533-position model. The record is from RNAcentral. Lineage: Bacteria; Bacillati; Chloroflexota; Anaerolineae; Anaerolineales; Anaerolineaceae.